GCCUGGUGGGCUCAGUCGGUUGAGUGUCUGACUUCGGCUCAGGUCAUGAUCUCGGGAUUCGUGGGUUCGAGCCCCGUGUUGGGCU
Transfer RNA from Felis catus (domestic cat), 85 nucleotides. It matches the Rfam family "tRNA". Rfam says of the family: Transfer RNA (tRNA) molecules are approximately 80 nucleotides in length. Their secondary structure includes four short double-helical elements and three loops (D, anti-codon, and T loops). NCBI's taxonomy places the organism in Eukaryota, Metazoa, Chordata, Mammalia, Carnivora, Felidae. The record is from Rfam.